GAUGAAGAACGUAGUGAAAUGCGAUAAGUAAUGCGAAUUGCAGAAUUUCCGUGAGUCAUCGAAUCUUUGAACGCACAUUGCGCCCACUGGUAUUCCGGUGGGCAUGCCUGUUCGAGCGUCAUUAUCCUCCCUCAAACCCCGGGUUUGGUGUUGGACCCAAGUUGUGUGAACAACUGGUCUCAAAGACAAUGACGGCGUCCGUGGGACCCUCGGUGCAACGAGCUUUUAGGAGCACGCAUCGAGUUGCAAGGACCUUCCGGGCCGGUCUCCUUUACCAUUUUACAAGAUUGACCUCGGAUCAGGUAGGAAUACCCGCUGAACUUAAGCAUAUCAAUAAGCGGAGGA
This 345-nucleotide unclassified non-coding RNA is filed under the name soil metagenome. RNAcentral describes it as "partial contains 5.8S ribosomal RNA, internal transcribed spacer 2, and large subunit ribosomal RNA". The stretch from base 1 to 121 matches the Rfam family "5.8S ribosomal RNA", at positions 35 to 154 of the family's 154-position model. The record is from RNAcentral.